GCGGGCAUGGCGGAACUGGUAGACGCAUCAGACUUAAAAUCUGCCGCCGUGAGGCGUGCCGGUUCGAUUCCGGCUGCCCGCACCA
This 85-nucleotide transfer RNA is filed under the name Massilia sp. Its description in RNAcentral is "tRNA-Leu". It matches the Rfam family "tRNA". From Rfam's summary of the family: Transfer RNA (tRNA) molecules are approximately 80 nucleotides in length. RNAcentral also lists the same sequence under 4 other names. Lineage: Bacteria; Pseudomonadati; Pseudomonadota; Betaproteobacteria; Burkholderiales; Oxalobacteraceae. The record is from RNAcentral.